This is a long non-coding RNA of Macaca mulatta (Rhesus monkey), 1334 nucleotides long. RefSeq lists it as uncharacterized. Lineage: Eukaryota; Metazoa; Chordata; Mammalia; Primates; Cercopithecidae. The record is from RefSeq and is a predicted model, not a curated record.
GUGGGGAGGGGCAAGAGGGGCUGACCUACCCUUCCUCUCCUGUUCUCUCUCCACCAGGUAUUCCAGAUGGUAAACUCUCCUGUCGUUUCUUUGGCCAGGGAAGAGGAGUUCUCCCAGGCCAGGAUCUCUUAGGGGAUCUGGAUUUGAAAGGGUUGCACCGCUGCUUGGGGACCUGGGAUACCACGAGGAACCAGCCAAACGUGAUAUCUGGCCUCCUCCCUCACUGGCUGGUGCAGGGAUUGAGCAUAUCAGCCCUUGGAUAACGGGCUUUAGAGGUUUGAAUAACUCGGCUCUUCCCCAGAGGAUGAAGAAAUUGGGAGCCACCAAGACAACAGUUACCACAACUUGGCCAUUCCACCUGGAAAUGUCCCUGGAACCGCACACUUCCCUGCAUUCCCAUUGCCCUGGUGCUGUUCAGGCUGCUGCCAUCCCAGCUGGUCUCCUGGCCUCUAGCCCCACCCCUCCAGCCCAGCCUCCAUACUUCCCUAGAAAUCUGACCAACAUCACUCUGCUGAAAAACCAUCUAUGGCUCCCUGUCACCUUCUGGGUAAGCCCUAGGCUCCCCAACCUCCAGUUCAUGGCCACUUCUUGCCAUGACCCAACCAGAUCUCACUGAUGGGGUUCUCUGUGCGUUCUUGCCUUUGUCCAUGCUGCUCCCUCUGCAUGGAGCACCCUCGCGUGCUAAAUGCUGUGAAUCAGGACUUUUCUCAGUUGUUGCCUUCUCCCAGAAGUCCCCUUGCGGCCCGCUCUGUGCUAGGUGUGCCUUUGUGCUCUCAGAAGCUCAGCUACUACCCAUGGUGCUUUGUUUUUUUGUUAUUUAAAAAUUUUUAAUUGUGUUAAAAAGCAACUACCAUAAAAUGUAUCAUCUUAAGGAUUUUAAGUGUACAGUUCAGUAGUGUUGAGUAUAUUCACAUUGUUGUGCAACAGAUCUCCAGAACUUUGUCCUCUUGCAAAACUGAAACUCUGUCUCUGGUAAACCACUUCCCUUCCCCCCUUUCCCUAUACCCUGGUGCAUGGUCUACUUAUGUUUAUUCCCCUCCUGCAUUAGACUGUGAACCCCUUGAGGGCAGGCAGCUGGGUCUUUAUAUCUCCACCACCUAGCAGAGCACCAGAUCCAUAUAUAUAUAAAUUUGUUAACUCAACAAGUAUUUAGUUUGGUGCAAAAGUAAUUGUGGUUUUUGCUAUUAAAACUAAUAGUUACUGAGCACCUCCUGUGUGCUGUGGUGCUAUCCUAGACAGUGGAGAUAACCAGGGAACAACAACAACAAAAUUCUUGUCCUCAGAGGUUUUACAUUCUAGCUGGCCAGAAGACAGAUAAUAAAAUGUAGAACAUG